AAACUUUUUUUUUUUUUUCAACCCCCCCGCCCCCUUUUUUAAAAAAAAAACUUAUUUUUUUUUUAAAGGGCCGCCCCCCCUUUUUUUUAAAAAAAAAAUCUUCUUUAUUAUCUAGAAACCAACCUCCCGGUGAAUAGACCUAUAUUAUAUUGAAGGACAAGAAGACCCUGGCGGCCUUUAGAGUAAAGCAGGAAUAUAAGUAUUAAAAAAAAUCAAUGACUACAUAACUCUUUAGUUGGGGCGACUAAGGAACAAAUAAAGCUUCUUUUAGUUUUUUAGAUCAAUAAAUUUAGAUCCAGCAAAGCUGAUUAAAAGAAUUAGUUACCGCAGGGAUAACAGCAUAAUCUCUCUUGAGAGACCUAAUCGAAAGAGGGGGUUGUGACCUCGAUGUUGGACUAAAAUAUCCUGAAGAUGCAGACGUCUUCGAAGGUUGGUCUGUUCGACCAUUAAAAUUUUACGUGAUCUGAGUUCAGACCGGACGCCCC
Molecule: ribosomal RNA, 485 nt
Filed under: Melanoides tuberculata
Lineage: Eukaryota; Metazoa; Mollusca; Gastropoda; Thiaridae
Description: partial large subunit ribosomal RNA
Rfam family: Bacterial large subunit ribosomal RNA (bases 152-485)
Source: RNAcentral